Molecule: ribosomal RNA, 873 nt
Filed under: Vibrio sp.
Lineage: Bacteria; Pseudomonadati; Pseudomonadota; Gammaproteobacteria; Vibrionales; Vibrionaceae
Description: bacterial SSU rRNA
Rfam family: Bacterial small subunit ribosomal RNA
Source: RNAcentral
CUGAUGCAGCCAUGCCGCGUGUGUGAAGAAGGCCUUCGGGUUGUAAAGCACUUUCAGUCGUGAGGAAGGUGGUGUAGUUAAUAGCUGCAUUAUUUGACGUUAGCGACAGAAGAAGCACCGGCUAACUCCGUGCCAGCAGCCGCGGUAAUACGGAGGGUGCGAGCGUUAAUCGGAAUUACUGGGCGUAAAGCGCAUGCAGGUGGUUUGUUAAGUCAGAUGUGAAAGCCCGGGGCUCAACCUCGGAAUUGCAUUUGAAACUGGCAGACUAGAGUACUGUAGAGGGGGGUAGAAUUUCAGGUGUAGCGGUGAAAUGCGUAGAGAUCUGAAGGAAUACCGGUGGCGAAGGCGGCCCCCUGGACAGAUACUGACACUCAGAUGCGAAAGCGUGGGGAGCAAACAGGAUUAGAUACCCUGGUAGUCCACGCCGUAAACGAUGUCUACUUGGAGGUUGUGGCCUUGAGCCGUGGCUUUCGGAGCUAACGCGUUAAGUAGACCGCCUGGGGAGUACGGUCGCAAGAUUAAAACUCAAAUGAAUUGACGGGGGCCCGCACAAGCGGUGGAGCAUGUGGUUUAAUUCGAUGCAACGCGAAGAACCUUACCUACUCUUGACAUCCAGAGAACUUUCCAGAGAUGGAUUGGUGCCUUCGGGAACUCUGAGACAGGUGCUGCAUGGCUGUCGUCAGCUCGUGUUGUGAAAUGUUGGGUUAAGUCCCGCAACGAGCGCAACCCUUAUCCUUGUUUGCCAGCGAGUAAUGUCGGGAACUCCAGGGAGACUGCCGGUGAUAAACCGGAGGAAGGUGGGGGACGACGUCAAGUCAUCAUGGCCCUUACGAGUAGGGCUACACACGUGCUACAAUGGCGCAUACAGAGGGC